GAUCACCUUAUUUACUCCUGUUGACCAACACAGAUCUACUGACCCUGAAUGGGUAGUGUGUGUGUGUGUGUGUGUGUGUGUGUGUGUGUGUGUGUGUGGCUAUAAUUGGCCCUCUCAGGCUAAAAGCUUUCCCCCACCAGGCUUAUCCUUUGGCAACUCUUUUAGAAUCACACCAGGCUGUCAUCGCAGCGUGUUCGGGUCAGAUUCUGGUCUGGUUCUGGUUGGGUUCUGAUCAGGUUCUGGUCGGGUUCAGGUCAGGUUCGGGUCAGAUUCUGGUCUGCUUCUGGUCGGGUUCGGACCCGCAGUGAGGCCCAGCGCUGUGCAGUGAGCUUGGACAAGUAGACCUGCUCCUGGACGGAAUUAAAGAAACCCAGAACAUUUCUGGGCCCUGAGAAGAAGAAGGAGGUGUUAAUAAAACCUGCUGAGGACUGAAAAGUGUAGAAAUCAGCAGGUUUAAUUGCAAACAGAUCGCAGGUUUGGACAUGUUCAUCCUCACAAGAAACGUCUUCAGUGAAACCUUCUGAAUUUAUGCUUUCCAACUUGGCUGAAACUAAAGAAAAAUCCACCACG
Non-coding RNA from Poecilia reticulata (guppy), 570 nucleotides. Lineage: Eukaryota; Metazoa; Chordata; Actinopteri; Cyprinodontiformes; Poeciliidae. The record is from RefSeq and is a predicted model, not a curated record.